Molecule: ribosomal RNA, 477 nt
Filed under: uncultured bacterium
Lineage: Bacteria
Description: bacterial SSU rRNA
Rfam family: Bacterial small subunit ribosomal RNA
Source: RNAcentral
ACUCCUACGGGAGGCAGCAGUAGGGAAUCUUCCACAAUGGGCGCAAGCCUGAUGGAGCAACACCGCGUGAGUGAAGAAGGGUUUCGGCUCGUAAAGCUCUGUUGUUAAAGAAGAACACGUAUGAGAGUAACUGUUCAUACGUUGACGGUAUUUAACCAGAAAGUCACGGCUAACUACGUGCCAGCAGCCGCGGUAAUACGUAGGUGGCAAGCGUUAUCCGGAUUUUAUUGGGCGUAAAGAGAGUGCAGGCGGUUUUCUAAGUCUGAUGUGAAAGCCUUCGGCUUAACCGGAGAAGUGCAUCGGAAACUGGAUAACUUGAGUGCAGAAGAGGGUAGUGGAACUCCAUGUGUAGCGGUGGAAUGCGUAGAUAUAUGGAAGAACACCAGUGGCGAAGGCGGCUACCUGGUCUGCAACGUGACGCUGAGACUCGAAAGCAUGGGUAGCGAACAGGAUUAGAUACCCCGUGGUAGGAUAGCG